GGUCCUAAAGGAACAAUCUUAUAAAAUACAUUUGUCCUGGAUAUUUGAACUGAAUAUAACAACUUCAAUAGAGUGUUUGUAUGAUUCAUUGUUCCUGCUGUAGCAAAGAGGUACCAGUCAGCAAAUUCUAAUGAGAAUUCUAAUGCUAAAAAACCCAAAACCAACUUUGAAGAGUACAGAGGAAACAAAGAACACCUCAGAAAGUGUUUGAAAGGAGACACUGCUCCCAGUUAAAUGGUGUGAAGACCCACAAAUGACUAACAGAGGCAAGCACUCCAGAUAUUCCUGGAUACAUUGGCAAGGUUCAUUGAUCAGCAGCUCACCCGGCAAAUUCCAAUCUUCCAUCAACAGCCCCAUCAGUAAUUGCAGGAAUGCAUGGGGCCUUUAUAUUUCUGAAGAAAGAAUGUCCAGAGUAUUCUGCAUGAAGUAAAGAUAAAGCUCUCAGCUGAAAAAAACGUGUUACAGCUUUCUGUCAUGUUCAAUUCACCAGUGACAGCCAGUCAAUUCAGGAUAAAAAAGCCUACCCAAGAUCAGAAAGAAGUCCUGUCCAGUUAACCAGGUA
RNAcentral lists this long non-coding RNA (562 nucleotides) under Parus major (Great Tit). RNAcentral's name for it is "lncRNA (ENSPMJG00000002687.1)". Lineage: Eukaryota; Metazoa; Chordata; Aves; Passeriformes; Paridae. The record is from RNAcentral.